GAUUAACGCUGGCGGCGUGCCUAACACAUGCAAGUCGAGCGGCAGCGAGUUUUACACUGAAUUCUGGAAGCUUCUAGUUGAAAGAGAAGAUUUAUUCAAGAAUUUUGUGUAAAAUGUCGGCGAGCGGCGGACGGCUGAGUAACGCGUGGGAACGUACCCCAAAGUGAGGGAUAACGCAUCGAAAGGUGUGCUAAUACCGCAUAUGGUCUUCGGAUUAAAGCCUUCGGGCGCUUUGGGAACGGCCUGCGUAAGAUUAGAUAGUUGGUGGGGUAAUGGCCUACCAAGGCGACGAUCUUUAACUGGUAUGAGAGGAUGAUCAGUCAGACUGGAACUGAGACACGGUCCAGACUCCUACGGGAGGCAGCAGUGAGGAAUCUUCCACAAUGGGCGAAAGCCUGAUGGAGCAACGCCGCGUGCAGGAUGAAGGCCUUCGGGUUGUAAACUGCUUUUAUAAGUGAGGAUUAUGACAGUAACUUAUGAAUAAGGAUCGGCUAACUACGUG
Molecule: ribosomal RNA, 502 nt
Filed under: uncultured bacterium
Lineage: Bacteria
Description: partial 16S ribosomal RNA
Rfam family: Bacterial small subunit ribosomal RNA
Source: RNAcentral